This 253-nucleotide ribosomal RNA is filed under the name uncultured bacterium. RNAcentral describes it as "partial 16S ribosomal RNA". It matches the Rfam family "Bacterial small subunit ribosomal RNA", at positions 524 to 776 of the family's 1533-position model. The record is from RNAcentral.
UACGUAGGGUGCGAGCGUUGUCCGGAAUUAUUGGGCGUAAAGGGCUCGUAGGCGGUUUGUCGCGCCGGGAGUGAAAACACACAGCUUAACUGUGUGCUUGCUUCCGAUACGGGCAGACUAGAGGUAUGCAGGGGAGAACGGAAUUCCUGGUGUAGCGGUGAAAUGCGCAGAUAUCAGGAGGAACACCGGUGGCGAAGGCGGUUCUCUGGGCAUUACCUGACGCUGAGGAGCGAAAGUGUGGGGAGCGAACAGG